This 375-nucleotide ribosomal RNA is filed under the name uncultured organism. RNAcentral describes it as "partial 16S ribosomal RNA". It matches the Rfam family "Bacterial small subunit ribosomal RNA", at positions 527 to 896 of the family's 1533-position model. The record is from RNAcentral.
AGAGGGUGCAAACGUUGCUCGGGAUUUACUGGGGCGUAAAGCGCGUGUAGGCGGACUCGCAAGUCGGUUGUGAAAUCCCUGGGGCUCAACCUAGGGAACUGCAUCCGAAACUGCUUGUCUUGAGUAAUGGAGAGGGUGGCGGAAUUCCCGGUGUAGAGGUGAAAUUCGUAGAUAUCGGGAGGAACAUCAGUGGCGAAGGCGGCCACCUGGACAUUUACUGACGCUGAGACGCGAAAGCGUGGGGAGCAAACAGGAUUAGAUACCCUGGUAGUCCACGCCGUAAACGAUGAGCACUAGGUGCAGCGGAUAUUGACCUCUGCUGUGCCGUAGCUAACGCGUUAAGUGCUCCGCCUGGGGAGUACGGCCGCAAGGCUA